UUUUCUAUAUCUUUUCAUUGAAGUGACCUUACUCUCAACUAUCUUAAUGGAACCAUCCCAAUAGAAUGGGGCACCACCCAAUUACUUGUAAACAUGUAAGUAGCUCUCUCUAUAUAUAUACUCCUUCAUUGAUCAAAAUGGAGUGAUACUAAUGUUAAUUGUAAUGCAGUUCGUUAUAUGGAAAUCGAAUAAGUGGAGGAAUCCCAAAAGAAUUGGGAAACAUUAGCACACUAAAAAAUCUGUUUGUAUUCAUUACCCCAUUUUCUCUAUGCAUAUCAAACUCAUGGUUCAGUUUUUGUCUUAAUGUGGUUUGAGAUAUGGUUAUAGGUGUUUGGAGUUCAACCAGCUAUCAGGGAUCAUCCCUUCAGAACUCGGUAACCUCGCUAGUAUAGAAAGCAUGUACUUCACCUCGAAUAAUUUAUCUGGUCAACUGCCACUAGACCUUGGUAAAUUGAUCACAAUGAAGGACUUUAGGAUUGGUGAUAACAAUUUCACUGGAAAGAUACCCAAUUUCAUCAAGAACUGGUUGAAUCUCACAACACUGUGAGAUGCUAAAUCUCAAAUUUAUUCAUUUAUAUUUCUUCCAUCUAAGUAUGUUUUUGAACAAAAACUAAAAAAAUGCAGAGUAAUUCAAGGUAGUGGCCUCGAGGGCCCGAUCCCUAAUGAGGUCUUUGCAUUGAC
This is a long non-coding RNA of Impatiens glandulifera, 681 nucleotides long. RefSeq lists it as uncharacterized. The record is from RefSeq and is a predicted model, not a curated record. The transcript is spliced from 3 exons. Lineage: Eukaryota; Viridiplantae; Streptophyta; Magnoliopsida; Ericales; Balsaminaceae.